AUGAAAGGAACUUCGGUUCUUUUUGAUGGCGACCGGCGCACGGGUGCGUAACGCGUAUCGAACCUGCCUCAUACUCGGGGAUAGCCUUGCGAAAGUAAGAUUAAUACCCGGCGGUCUCGGAUGGCCGCAUGACUAUCCGAGUGAAGAUUUAUCGGUAUGAGAUGGCGAUGCGUCCCAUUAGCUUGUUGGUGAGGUAAUGGCUCACCAAGGCAUCGAUGGGUAGGGGUUCUGAGAGGAAGGUCCCCACAUUGGAACUGAGACACGGUCCAAACUCC
This 275-nucleotide ribosomal RNA is filed under the name uncultured Prevotellaceae bacterium. RNAcentral describes it as "partial 16S ribosomal RNA". It matches the Rfam family "Bacterial small subunit ribosomal RNA", at positions 68 to 339 of the family's 1533-position model. Lineage: Bacteria; Pseudomonadati; Bacteroidota; Bacteroidia; Bacteroidales; Prevotellaceae. The record is from RNAcentral.